GUCUCAGUAGCACAGUGGUUAGUGCACAGCCCUGGAUAGGUUGAGACGCGGGUUCGACCUGAGAUG
RNAcentral lists this transfer RNA (66 nucleotides) under Nippostrongylus brasiliensis. It matches the Rfam family "tRNA". From Rfam's summary of the family: Transfer RNA (tRNA) molecules are approximately 80 nucleotides in length. Lineage: Eukaryota; Metazoa; Nematoda; Chromadorea; Rhabditida; Heligmosomidae. The record is from Rfam by way of RNAcentral.